This 163-nucleotide ribosomal RNA is filed under the name Orlaya grandiflora. RNAcentral's name for it is "5.8S ribosomal RNA". It matches the Rfam family "5.8S ribosomal RNA". Rfam says of the family: 5.8S ribosomal RNA (5.8S rRNA) is a component of the large subunit of the eukaryotic ribosome. It is transcribed by RNA polymerase I as part of the 45S precursor that also contains 18S and 28S rRNA. Functionally, it is thought that 5.8S rRNA may be involved in ribosome translocation. Lineage: Eukaryota; Viridiplantae; Streptophyta; Magnoliopsida; Apiales; Apiaceae. The record is from RNAcentral.
AAACGACUCUCGGCAACGGAUAUCCCGGCUCUCGCAUCGAUGAAGAACGUAGCGAAAUGCGAUACUUGGUGUGAAUUGCAGAAUCCCGUGAACCAUCGAGUCUUUGAACGCAAGUUGCGCCCGAAGCCAUUAGGCCAAGGGCACGUCUGCCUGGGCGUCACGC